Molecule: unclassified non-coding RNA, 357 nt
Filed under: Hevea brasiliensis (rubber tree)
Lineage: Eukaryota; Viridiplantae; Streptophyta; Magnoliopsida; Malpighiales; Euphorbiaceae
Source: RNAcentral
UGUUAAAAGCAACCAUUUGAGCUCCAUGCAUCCACCCAAUCAUUGGGUUGUAAUUGGAGGAGUCCACACGUAUACCCUUCGGGUACACCCUAAGAAUAUUCUGCUGGGUAAACCUGACAAUUUCUUUUCCAUGAGUUUCUGCAGCCUUUUCAAGUUGUUGCUCACUUAAGCUAAGACGUCUAACUUUAUCAGGAUCCACUUUCAAACAUUCUUCUAUUCCACCUUUAGGUUUCCCAGCAUGAAUAGCGAUUAAAUGUUUAUAUUGUGGUGCAACAAUAUGCUGAGACUUAUUAUCUCCUUCAGGAAGAUCUUCAUCAUCAUUAUUAUCUCCGUCUAAUUCAUUCUUAUCAUCAGUCU